GAUUUUAAUAUUGUUUAAGUUGCAAACUUAAAAUUAACAUUUUUAUGUUUAAAAUUU
This 57-nucleotide transfer RNA is filed under the name Aposthonia borneensis. Its description in RNAcentral is "tRNA-Cys". The record is from RNAcentral. Lineage: Eukaryota; Metazoa; Arthropoda; Insecta; Embioptera; Oligotomidae.